RNAcentral lists this ribosomal RNA (120 nucleotides) under Methanobrevibacter ruminantium M1. Lineage: Archaea; Methanobacteriati; Methanobacteriota; Methanobacteria; Methanobacteriales; Methanobacteriaceae. The record is from RNAcentral.
UCUAGUGAAUAUAUCAUCAUAAUGGAUGAUUAGGAUUCGGUUUGGUGUAUUCAGUUUAGGGUGAAAGUGUAUAGUUAUAAAAAAAAGUUAUCCGUCUUUUUAUCAUACUCAUAAUUGAGU